RNA transcript from Lagopus leucura (white-tailed ptarmigan), 1550 nucleotides. It is a transcript of the gene named decapping enzyme, scavenger, with no coding region annotated. The record is from RefSeq and is a predicted model, not a curated record. The transcript is spliced from 4 exons. NCBI's taxonomy places the organism in Eukaryota, Metazoa, Chordata, Aves, Galliformes, Phasianidae.
AGAUGGAAGCAUGUUCCUGCCAACCUUGGGAGCAGCUGCCUUAUCUGUGCUUGGCGAUCUUGGUCUGAGCAUCGGUCCUCUGAGAUUUGAUAAUGCAGUUUCUUGUCUUUAUCUAAUUGGUUUUGUCAAAAGGAAGAGGAAAUGUGAAAGGCAGAAGUAUUGGAGGACUACAGAGGAGGCUCUGUUUUCUGCCUGGAGGAUGCAAAUUCUGGCUGCUUUCAGCAUAAUGGUUUUAUUGUAGUGCCAGCUUGUGGACGUGUUGUCUUCCCCAGGCUUGUGCUGGAAAGAGCAGGAGCAGCCAGCUGAUGACUGCUGGUCAUCAUGGGGCAGCAGCAGUUUAUGGCUCUGCUCAUCCUGUAUGUGAGCUUAUUGGGGUACCCACAGGUUGGCACUGCUCAAAAGAGGCGGCGUGAAAAAGUGAGUGGCAAACUUUCAUUUCCUUCUGAGCUUCCUGCCCUGCCUUUCUCACAGGGUCACGGAGCACAGCAGUCUUGUGCCAUGUGUUCCAUAAUCUCUGAGAAUCUCUCUGGGAUGUUAUCGCUAGGGAGGAAAGAGUGGGAACUUAAGAAAGAAAAGGAUCGAGGCUGGGGAGAGUUCCCAGCAGGGCUGUCUUUCAUCUCGAGCAUCUGUUGCACACAGCAGCCACUGAGCCAGCUUGCUCAGUGUGUCUGCAGGGCCGGCAGUGGCUUGGUGCUUCCACUCCCCCUGGGACAGCAGCAGUGUGUUGUACCUAAGCUCCAUGGGAAGGUGAGCGUGGUGGUGAUCAGCACUGUGUGCAGUUCAGUUGUUUGCCGUAUCCGUAAAGCUGAAACAACUGUGGCACUUCUACAGCCUGGUUGUUUCAGGGAAGGCUUUCUGCAGUGGAAGGGCCACUGGCGUUUCAAAAUGAUUGCAGCUUUCGAAGCCCAGCCAAUUUCUGCUGCCUUGCUUUUUUUCUCUAGAGACCUGAUUAAUGCUGGAAGUCUGAAACUCCAAGAACUGCUAGCAUUUAGAAGCCAACUUGCAGCUCCCUCUGUGAAAGAGGACCUUUGUGUUUGGCAAGAGGGCAGGUGGGCAGCUUGUAACCAGGACAGGCAGUCUUCCAGGCGUGAAGGUGCUUUCUCUGUCAUGUCUCGUCAGUUAUCCCUGUUGGAGAGUGGAGACUUGUCUCUGCGCGGUGCUUUGCUCUCAGGAGCUCUUCCUCUGCAGAGUCUGAGCUCCCACGUCCUCCUGCUCUCCCUCCCAGCAGCCCAGCGAGGAAUGCAGGGGAUAACCAGAGCAAGGAUUGCUGGCUGUUGGAGGCCGAAGCUUUAAAUAUAGAGGAAGAAGAGAGCUGUGGCUGAUUCUUAAUGCUCGAGAGGACAACAAAAAUCCCUGAAUAAUUCAGCGAGGCAGUGGGGCCGCGCCGUGCAGCGGGGUCAGAGGGUAUCUUUUAACUGAAGUGCCUGUAAUAGCCUGGAGUUUGUUGGAGUGUGCUAUGGUGGGUGUAUAAUAUCCUGGAGAAGAAAGCUGAGGCUGAUCGAAUCAUCCAUGAAAACCCAGACCCUUGCAAUGGCUUUGUUCUAGUUCCA